RNAcentral lists this transfer RNA (97 nucleotides) under Puccinia triticina. RNAcentral describes it as "tRNA-His". It matches the Rfam family "tRNA". From Rfam's summary of the family: Transfer RNA (tRNA) molecules are approximately 80 nucleotides in length. Their secondary structure includes four short double-helical elements and three loops (D, anti-codon, and T loops). RNAcentral also lists the same sequence under 1 other name. Lineage: Eukaryota; Fungi; Basidiomycota; Pucciniomycetes; Pucciniales; Pucciniaceae. The record is from RNAcentral.
GUGGGCGUCUUCUAAUGGUUAGGAAAUCUCGUUGUGGUAGCAGUUUUCGACGCCCGUCAACCCCGUGAAAAUGUCGGUUCGAUUCCGGCCGCCCACA